UACGUAGGGGACAAGCGUUGUCCGGAUUUACUGGGCGUAAAGAGCGCGCAGGCGGUCGUUCAAGUCGAGCGUGAAAGCCUCCGGCUCAACUGGGGAGGGUCACUCGAUACUGAUCGACUCGAAGGCAGGAGAGGGAAGUGGAAUUCCCGGUGUAGUGGUGAAAUGCGUAGAUAUCGGGAGGAACACCAGUGGCGAAGGCGACUUCCUGGCCUGUUCUUGACGCUGAGGCGCGAAAGCUAGGGGAGCAAACGGG
RNAcentral lists this ribosomal RNA (253 nucleotides) under uncultured bacterium. Its description in RNAcentral is "partial 16S ribosomal RNA". It matches the Rfam family "Bacterial small subunit ribosomal RNA", at positions 524 to 776 of the family's 1533-position model. The record is from RNAcentral.